This is a long non-coding RNA of Mus musculus (house mouse), 2946 nucleotides long. RefSeq annotates it as predicted gene, 36589. The record is from RefSeq and is a predicted model, not a curated record. Lineage: Eukaryota; Metazoa; Chordata; Mammalia; Rodentia; Muridae. The transcript is spliced from 3 exons.
GGUAUACUGGUUGUCUUUCAAGAAUGGCUUGGGACCACUUUGCCAAGAACAGGCAUGCAGAGAGAGCCAGUCAGUCUACUCUGUGACCUUUUUAACAUCAUAAGCUCAAAAUCUUCCAUCCAGGAUGUGGAGAUCACCCUUGGGGCAGGGCAACAGGGCCUGUGAAGAGGCCUGAUGCCAUCCCAUGUCCUUUUUCUCUGAAUGGGUGGGGGUCCUCCAGGGUAGUCCUCAUCCCUCAAAUUUCAAGUCUCUAUAAGACUUCGUGCUUCCUUUCCCACUGAGGCCUGAGAAGGCAGCCUAGCUAGAAGAACAUACCCUGCAUACAGGCAGCAGCUUUUAGAAUAGCCCCUAUCACUAUCACUCAGGAACCACAUGAAGACCAAGCUACACAUCUGCUAUAUAUGUGCAGGGAGGCCUAGGGCCAGCCUGUGUAUGUUUUUUGGUUUGUGGUUCAGACCCUGAGAGCCCCAAGGGUCCAGGUUAGUUGAUGCUGGUGGUCUUCCUGUGGAGUUCUGAUCCCCUUAGGGGCUGCAAUCCUUCCUCCUAUUCUUCUGUAAGAGUCCCCAAGCUCCAUCCACUGUUUGGUUGUGGAUGUUUGCAUCUGUCUGAUCCACAGCUGUUGGAGCCUCUCAGAGGACAUGAUAGACUCCUGUCUGCAAGCAUAACAGAGACAACUUAUUGCAAGUCCUUGUUUGGCAUUGAGAGGACCCUAGUAUUUGGAAAAGUCAGUCCAAGAAGCAGGAACUCGGGUUCAGGGUGACUGACUGACAAGACCGAAGCCCUGCCGAGCAUGUGGCUUUGGGGUGUGUCUACCUAAGCUACCUCCCUUCCUCCUGGGUACCAUGCAGGGUGCCAUGUCUAGUCUCUGCUGUCAUGGACACCCUGUGAUCCUGUGUUCUCUACAGACCGGGAGCAAAUGAUCUCUCUUUCCUCCCUCUUUUCCAGACUGAUGGAAGGGCCGAGACACAGAAAGUGCUUCUCAGAAGGCAGCUCAAUAUGGCGGCUGGUGUUACUCCUACAAAUGCACCUCCUUGUAUCCUGAAGCCUUGGAGGCCAUUGUCACAGUUCAGGACAGUGAUCCAUCCCUUCCCAAAUCAGCCAGAAUUAAAUGGCCUGAAAUCUUCGAGGCCCCAGGAACAUACACUUCUAGAUCAGCACUUACUUCUCUUCUUUUAACACAGCUUCUCAUGUCUUUGACCACACAGGCCAUCCCUGUCAGGGGUAGAUCCUGAGCUCAGGGAUUGAGCUCUGGGAAGCACUGGCCUCUCUGUCAUAAUUGCUCCUCCUCUCUGGGAACACAGACCCAUGCAUCAACCCCCACUUUGCAGUAGCAGGCUUGAGUCCUAUAAUUAUAAGCAUGAUGAAGUCUGUCUCAGCUGGAGCCAGAUGGGAACUAUGCUAUGAAAGCCCCUAAUUACACAUCUCUGCAAGGAGAACCAGAUCUUACCAAGGACUCUGGAUGAAUAAGCACGAAGGAAAACACUACCUUGCCUGCACAGGGAUGUUCUAGCUAGGGCUGGAAAACAGGAGCUUGUGCCCUAGUGACCAGCUGUCCACUGAACCACCUCAGGACAGAUGACAGAGGGGAGAGGCAGGAGACAUCCGUUCUCUUUUCCUUCCUCUGCUACCUGCCUCCCACAGCCUCCACAGGUCCUGCUUCAUUAGCACACUGACUGAAGUUUCAGGGAAAGCUGACUCCUGCAAGCACCUUGAAACCACAGGGACAUGGGGGCACUUGACAUUUUCCCCAGUGGCACUGCUGUAGCUGGGCUGUUCUCAUCAAGAGAAGGAGACCAGGACGAGCCUCACAGACUGAGCCUUUCGCAGGCCCUCAUGGAGACAAGCCUGGGGUCACGCUAAGCUGAGUUUAUAAAGGUUUCCGUGUCAGAACAUUUGAUCCCCCUUCUGGUGGCACUGUUUCGAAAGCUUAUGAAAUCUUUGGGAGGCGAGGCCCGGCUGGAGGAAGUGGGUGGAGUUUUAUAGACCAGCUUCCUGUUACUCUCUGCUUCCUGACUGAGGAUGAGACCAGCUGUCGACGCUAUGGUUCGGUCAUCAUGGUGGCUGGUAGCAGCAGGGAAAAGUCUCUAAGACAGCUCCUUAGAGAGGAGCGUCUCCAGCCAGAUGAGAAGGAAAAGUCACAUUCAUGGUACCACCUGCGGUCACAGCAGAAGCACUAAGACCAACCAGGCCCUGGUUCCUACUGCCACACCAUGGAAACCCCCAAGCUGGAGCCCGUGAGUUUGUUCAGGGCCUUGGGAGAACCGAGGGGAAGAUGUCGAGCAUCUGGGCUGCCGGCCAUACCCCAAAGGUUGCAGAAGCAAGGCACAGGGAGUGCUCAGUGUCUGAGAUUCCUGUUGGGCCGGUUGAGCUUGUCACCUGCCACCUCCUCCUCACCCCAGUCUCUCCAAGGAUCAAGGUCAUCCCAAGAAUGAGAAACUUGACUCAGAACCCCACUGGGUGUUUUGGCCUGCGGAGAUCAGCUCGGCCAUGCCUCCAGGAAGUCAGCAGUCAGAGGGCACCCAGAAGACAUCUUUCUGGCAUCUGCUGGAACUGGAUAGGUGAUUUACUGCCAUAUCAGCACCAAUGUGGCCAGGUGUGCCUUGACAGUGAGGUCACGCCUGGCUUUGUGUUCAAUGCACACAAACUUCCUACAAGUGGUUUCCUCCUGGCCACGCCUCUCUCUCCCUGUCACAGCUCACACUGGAGCCUGUGGGAUGCCCUGCCCUCAAAGCCCAUGACAUACUGUCCUUGGGAAGUUUGCCGUUCUAAUCUUUAUUUGUCUAGAUGUGUCCACACGAAACCAUAGCUCUCAUCUUAACGGAAAUAAGAGUUUACUCAGGGGUCAUUUUGAGUGGCUAUGGGUCCCAGGAACACAGAUUGAAGUCACCCCAAAUUCCAUGUCCCAGUGAGGAAGCAGUUUCAAAGAUUUACAGAACGAAGUCAUAA